GCAGAACGCGAAGAACCUUACCUGGCCUUGACAUGCUGAGAACUUUCCAGAGAUGGAUUGGUGCCUUCGGGAACUCAGACACAGGUGCUGCAUGGCUGUCGUCAGCUCGUGUCGUGAGAUGUUGGGUUAAGUCCCGUAACGAGCGCAACCCUUGUCCUUAGUUACCAGCACCUCGGGUGGGCACUCUAAGGAGACUGCCGGUGACAAACCGGAGGAAGGUCGGGGAUGACGUCAAGUCAUCAUGGCCCUUACGGCCAGGGCUACACACGUGCUACAAUGGUCGGUACAGAGGGUUGCCAAGCCGCGAGGCGGAGCUAAUCUCACAAAACCGAUCGUAGUCCGGAUCGCAGUCUGCAACUCGACUGCGUGAAGUCGGAAUCGCUAGUAAUCGUGAAUCAGAAUGUCACGGUGAAUACGUUCCCGGGUCUUGUACACACCG
Molecule: ribosomal RNA, 439 nt
Filed under: uncultured bacterium
Lineage: Bacteria
Description: bacterial SSU rRNA
Rfam family: Bacterial small subunit ribosomal RNA
Source: RNAcentral